AGAAUGAACGCUGGCGGCAUGCCUAACACAUGCAAGUCGAACGAAGGCUUCGGCCUUAGUGGCGCACGGGUGCGUAACGCGUGGGAAUCUACCCCUUGGUUCGGAAUAACAGUUGGAAACGACUGCUAAUACCGGAUGAUGACGUAAGUCCAAAGAUUUAUCGCCGAGGGAUGAGCCCGCGUAGGAUUAGCUAGUUGGUGUGGUAAAGGCGCACCAAGGCGACGAUCCUUAGCUGGUCUGAGAGGAUGAUCAGCCACACUGGGACUGAGACACGGCCCAGACUCCUACGGGAGGCAGCAGUGGGGAAUAUUGGACAAUGGGCGAAAGCCUGAUCCAGCAAUGCCGCGUGAGUGAUGAAGGCCUUAGGGUUGUAAAGCUCUUUACCCGGAUGAUAAUGACAGUACCGGGAGAAUAAGCUCCGGCUAACUCCGCGCCAGCAGCCGC
RNAcentral lists this ribosomal RNA (444 nucleotides) under uncultured bacterium. RNAcentral describes it as "SSU rRNA". It matches the Rfam family "Bacterial small subunit ribosomal RNA", at positions 26 to 518 of the family's 1533-position model. The record is from RNAcentral.